Molecule: ribosomal RNA, 507 nt
Filed under: Theileria cervi
Lineage: Eukaryota; Apicomplexa; Aconoidasida; Piroplasmida; Theileriidae
Description: SSU rRNA
Rfam family: Eukaryotic small subunit ribosomal RNA
Source: RNAcentral
GGGGCAAGUCUGGUGCCAGCAGCCGCGGUAAUUCCAGCUCCAAUAGCGUAUAUUAAAAUUGUUGCAGUUAAAAAGCUCGUAGUUGAAUUUCUGCUGCAUCGCCUUUGCUCCCUUACGAGUUUUGGCAUUGCGGCUUAUUUCGGAUUUGCUUGCAUUUCCGAAUGUUUACUUUGAGAAAAUUAGAGUGCUCAAAGCAGGCUUUUGCCUUGAAUAGUUUAGCAUGGAAUAAUGAAGUAGGACUUUGGUUCUAUUUUGUUGGUUUUAGGUACCAAAGUAAUGGUUAAUAGGAACAGUUGGGGGCAUUCGUAUUUAACUGUCAGAGGUGAAAUUCUUAGAUUUGUUAAAGACGAACUACUGCGAAAGCAUUUGCCAAGGAUGUUUUCAUUAAUCAAGAACGAAAGUUAGGGGAUCGAAGACGAUCAGAUACCGUCGUAGUCCUAACCAUAAACUAUGCCGACUAGAGAUUGGAGGUCGUCAGUUUUUACGACUCCUUCAGCACCUUGAGAG